Cyprinus carpio (common carp) is the source of this 1615-nucleotide long non-coding RNA. RefSeq lists it as uncharacterized. NCBI's taxonomy places the organism in Eukaryota, Metazoa, Chordata, Actinopteri, Cypriniformes, Cyprinidae. The record is from RefSeq and is a predicted model, not a curated record. The transcript has 4 exons.
AAUUCAGCAUGUAACGCGUUUACUCCUUGAAUCAAAUCUCUUUGACUAAACGCACUUAAACUGUAGACAGGAAUAAAGCAACAGUUACCUUCCAGAACUUUUCGGCCCUGGACCGUUUGCGGGAGUGCGAUACUAGCCCUGUAGAAGACGCAUGGUCAAAAAUCAUCUUGAAGGCAAGAGGACUUGCACAGAAUAUAUGGACUGCAUACAGUCAGAAUGCUUUAUAUGGCUCCCAGAAGCCCUUCCAAUUAUCAUGCACCCAUAAAAAAUAAGAAUCCAGCCCAUUCGAGCAGGAGAUCCCAUUACACGCUAAUGGAAGAGCAGACUGAGCAGCCAUCCUGUCUGGCAGACAUUUAGCAGGGAUGGAACAAGACAACAGAUACAAGAUCUCCACUUGGGAGAGAGUUCCAGAGUUUUGGAGCAAGGGAGGAAAAUGCCCGGUCACCCAUUGAGCGUAGAUGAGAAGAGGAAACAGUCAAAAGGCCAGAAUCAGAAGAACGGAGAUACCACCUAGUAAGAGUUGCUGGUGGAUCCUGAGUUAUCUGAGGUGAAGACCCCAGAUGAGACAGUGAGCAUUUGGGGCCUGCUGAGAGUGCCACAACACUGAAACACCUGCUAAUGGAUCAAAUACAACAAGAACAAACUGCAACAGAGACCUGCGCCGUGGAGACCAAACACCUACAGAGGCUGUCAGGUCAGAGGUGAAGAGGACAAACAGUCUAUGUGCUUUAACUCUACGCCCAGAUUUACACUUUCUAACCUUCCUGAUCCCGUCAGUAGAAGCAGUGCUGACGCAAGCAUUAGCGUCUAAUACCCUGGCGGUAGUGUCUGACACCCUGUCAACGGCUACUGUGGAGAGAAGGGUCAUGGUGAGCUGGGAAUGUGUUUUCCUCAUUUACAAAUCUUGACGCUCAUGCACAUCGACAACAUGGGUCCCAGGGUACCUGUCAGAUUACACUUUCCUUUACACAGUCCAGUUCUCCAGGGCUGAGUGGAUGGAUUUCAUACUUCUCAAUGCACAUGAGUGUAAACAUGUCAUUCCGAGGUGAUAUGAAUGAAAAUUCCUUGACUUGGUUUGCUGAUGCAAAAGCAUGGUGUAAUUUCUGGCUGAGGGUGAUUGACUGAACAAGCUUCAUUAACAUAGCAAACACAAGAAACUCUGAGUAAGCACUGUGAACUUAAACAAUCAGACUUGUAAAUAAAUACAGCAAUGUACCACAGGGGUCAAAGUUUUUCACUUUAAUUAAAAGAGCAGCGAAAUUUACAGGUUUGCCACUUUAAUGAAUUGUAUUUCGGAGCAAAAUCCUAUCUGUUAAUUUAAUGCUGUUCCAUGUGUAACAAACUGUCAUUCGCUUUUAGAAAAGAUACCUCAUUUCAUGCAAAUGAGUCUUAUUAAAAAAUGUGCAAUUUACACAGUGUUCUUACCAGACACAGUCGUGACGGGCUGCACUAUAUUUUGUAGGUCGUUUUGUGUCUAUUUCUGUGACAUUGUGCCAGGUAGCCCCACUCAAAAUGAAAUCUCAUUACACUGAUGUACCACCUCCCUUAUGUAUAUUAAAUGACAAACAUGAAUGAGGAGAAAUCAAUAUAUGUCAAAUCCUCUAAAUUCUACAAG